This 258-nucleotide ribosomal RNA is filed under the name uncultured bacterium. RNAcentral's name for it is "partial 16S ribosomal RNA". It matches the Rfam family "Bacterial small subunit ribosomal RNA", at positions 192 to 444 of the family's 1533-position model. The record is from RNAcentral.
GUGUAUAUAGGAAAGGUGGUGUGAGCUACCGCUUACAGAUGACCUCGCGUCCGAUUAGCUAGUUGGUGGGGUAACGGCCUACCAAGGCAACGAUCGGUAGCCGGCCUGAGAGGGUGGCCGGCCACACUGGAACUGAGACACGGUCCAGACUCCUACGGGAGGCAGCAGUGGGGAAUCUUGCGCAAUGGGCGAAAGCCUGACGCAGCGAUGCCGCGUGAACGAAGAAGGCCUUCGGGUCGUAAAGUUCUUUCGCUGGGG